AUGGAACUCCCUGAAGGCACACUGCCAUUUGAAGUCCUCCCUCUUGAAGGAGAGCAAGACUGGCGUUUCGGUCGAGCAGCUGGCCCAGGCUCCACAGAGGAAGAUCUAGAACUAGGUGCUCCAGGCCUACCACGAGUAGCAGAGGUUGGUCUUUCCGGCAGCGACGUCCUCAGAUUUGGAGGCGCAUCAAGCGAGAAUCCGGGCAUUUCAGAUGGUUUCCAUGGUCUUGAUUUGACUGUAGGUGAGCUGCCCCUUGAAGGUGCUGGCGCCGUUGUUGUCGCUGCCGAUGCAGAGCUUUUGGGCAUUGUAGGUCCUGGUCUGGAGAUUGAGGAGGAUCGAACUGGUCCGGGCAAGUUACUGUGCUGGGUGUGGGUGGGAGGGGCAGAAGACCGCCUUGUUGGGGUUGAUGACCUUGAUGCAGGCUUGCUUUGUGCUGGUAAGGAGGGCCUUGACAAAGGUGUAGUUGACCUAGUAGCAGGCAUUGAUGAUCUUGAAGUAGGCGUUGAUGAUCUGCUAGCAGGUGCUGAUGCUCUACCUGAAGGAACUGAUGUCCUGGUAGCAGUAGCAGGGCCAGAUGUCCUGGUAGCAGCAGUAGGGCCAGAUGUCCUGGUAGCAGUAGCAGGGCCAGAUGUCCUUGAUGGAGUUGUUGACCUUGAUGAAGGCAGUGCUGACCUUGUUGAAGGAAGUGUUGACCUGGAAGUGGGCGUCGAAGAUCUUGGGGCAGUAGGUCCAGUCUUGGCAGGCAGAGUUGCCCGAGCAUUGGGGGAUGAAGGUCUUGAACCUUUGGACGCGGUGGUCGAUGCAGCACGUCCAGUUGGUGUUGAAGGUCUCGAAGAAUUAGACGUAGGCCCUCCAGAUGAUGUCGGCCGACGAGUUGUCGCAGCUGAGUUCAAGCUGUUUGAUGACGAUGUUCUCAGUGGAUGUGUGGUUCUUGAUGGAGGAUCUGGAUGA
This 951-nucleotide ribosomal RNA is filed under the name Triticum aestivum (bread wheat). RNAcentral's name for it is "partial small subunit ribosomal RNA". Lineage: Eukaryota; Viridiplantae; Streptophyta; Magnoliopsida; Poales; Poaceae. The record is from RNAcentral.